Molecule: transfer RNA, 81 nt
Filed under: Cyanobacteria bacterium J055
Lineage: Bacteria; Bacillati; Cyanobacteriota
Also listed under: 2 other names
Description: tRNA-Leu
Rfam family: tRNA
About the family: Transfer RNA (tRNA) molecules are approximately 80 nucleotides in length.
Source: RNAcentral
GCGGAUGUGGUGGAAUGGUAGACACGCACGCUUGAGGGGCGUGUGGAGCAAUCCAUGCGAGUUCGAGUCUCGCCAUCCGCA